AAGUCGUAACAAGGUUUCCGUAGGUGAACCUGCGGAAGGAUCAUUAAUGAUUUUUAAAGCGAGUCGAGCGUUUGAGCGAGGCUUGCGAAAUAUUUAAAACCCCACUCUUUUUAACCUUAAAAUAUAAAUCAUGAUAAAAAAAAAGAUCACUUUCAACAACGGAUCUCUUGGCUCUC
This 176-nucleotide unclassified non-coding RNA is filed under the name Funneliformis sp. RNAcentral describes it as "partial internal transcribed spacer region". The stretch from base 1 to 46 matches the Rfam family "Eukaryotic small subunit ribosomal RNA", at positions 1786 to 1831 of the family's 1831-position model. Lineage: Eukaryota; Fungi; Glomeromycota; Glomeromycetes; Glomerales; Glomeraceae. The record is from RNAcentral.